Non-coding RNA from Rattus norvegicus (Norway rat), 27822 nucleotides. The record is from RefSeq and is a predicted model, not a curated record. NCBI's taxonomy places the organism in Eukaryota, Metazoa, Chordata, Mammalia, Rodentia, Muridae.
CUCCAGCAGCAGCUGCCCCAUCUGCAGCCGGCUCACCUGCUGCUGCACGUUGGCAGCCAGGCCUGAUGGCCCAGAUGGCUUCCACUGCAGCCCGUGUGGCUGUGGGCUCUGCGGUGGGCACUCCCUGGGUCAUGCCAUCACUGGGGGCUGCAGAGGAGGAACCUGACAUCACUAAACAGGAGCCUCAGGGAGCCCAGCUGCAGCAGGACCAGCAGUCUCCUGGAUUUUGCUCUCUGGAGAUCAAGCAGUUUCUAGAGUGUGCUUAGAACCAAGGCGAUGUCAAGCCCUCUGAGGGCUUCAGAGAGGUGCUGCGGCAGUGCAGGAUUGCAAAUGGUUUAAUCGAAUCAAGAAAUUCAAGCUGGAGAAAUGUAAAGUUUGUUCUGUAUAAUUAAUAGUUAGAAGCAUGGACCCUUAUUUCUACCAGCUCAAUUGCUUCAGAAUGGCCGUGAAAGAGAUGUAACUGUAGAUGUUUACUGAGGCUUGUAGUGUUGGUUAUUGGGCAAGUGUUUGGCCUCCUUGAAUUGUGUUGUAAGUUUUAAAAAAAAAGUUUAUUCUGAAAAAAAAGGAAGGAAGGAAGGAAAGAAGGAAGGAAGGAAAGAAAGAAGGGAAAAAAGAAAGAAAGAAAGAAAGAAAGAAAGAAAGAAAGAAAGAAAGAAAGGGAGGAAGAAAGGAAGGAAGAAAGAGAAAGAAAGCUAGUUCUUCGGGUGAGUUGUCCUCAUUUGGAUUUAUGUUCAGGAGAAGCCAGCUGCAGGAGCAGAUGCAGUGGUUUGAUAGUAGUCCUGGUGUUAACUGUUGGUGAUGGCACUUCUGUCCCCAUGAGGCUCAGAGAGAAAGUCACUGGGAUACUGGUUUGGAAAAUUUAGCUUAUACCGCAGUGGUUCUCUACCUUUGGGUUUCAAUACCUUUGGGGUUGACAGAUCUAUCCACAGGGGUUGCCUAAGACCAUCAGAAAACACAGAUAUUUACACACUGAAGUUCAUAACAUUAGUAACAUUAUAAUUAUGAAGUAACAACAAAAUAAUUUUAUUUUUGGGGGACACCACAAUAUGAGGAACCGUAUUAAAAGGUUGCAACAUUAGAAAGGCUGAGACCCACUGGUUUAUAGGGUGUUGUUGUUGUCUUAAGGUAAGAUAUCUAAGUAGUGAAGAAGGGAUGGAAUAGGAAAAGAAUAAAGGAAGGGAAAUGUUUAAGAAAGAAUAUGGAUAGAGGUAUCUGGAGAAAUAGAAAAAGUAUUGUAUACUAGAUUCUGAGAAAGGGAUAGCAGAUAUCAAAGCCUGUGAAAUCAGAAGCUAGUUACAACACAACAAAUGAAUUAUUAAAGUAUAACUAAAAAGUAUAACUACUAAUAUUUAAGUAAAUAAAAACAUGAAAAUUAAAGAUUACUAUAGUAAAAAUAAAAAUGGGCAAUACAAUGAGAUGAAGGAUAUUGCAUUUCCACCCUGAUUCUGAUUUUUUUUUUUUCUGGUUGGGGUGGUAUGGUUUCUCCUGCCUGAAAUUUACAUUGUCUUUUAUUAUUAUUAUUUAUUUUAAAAGUCCAGAGUUCAUAAAUAAGAAGGGUUGAUAGUUUCGGUAAUCUAAACAAGUAAGCGUCCUUUUAGGAAAAAAAUGUUUCUGUGGUCAAAGACCAUUUUCUGACCGUUUCUCAUGCCUGAUUUCCCCAGGUUGUAAGUUAUAUCUCUAUCUCAUGCUUUUCAGACAAGUCUGGGCAGAGCUCUCUAUGUCUGGAGCUCCAAGGAAGAGCACGGAAGAUACAAAUAAAAAAGAGAAACAAAACAUCUGAAAAAAAAAAAAGCCCGUAUCACAAGGACAAGGGCAACUAUGUUAGCCCAUUGUGAACUAUGAAGAGAAAUGACUGGAUAGGAAUUCCAACCCUUCAGAAAGAGCGUGGGUUUAAACAGGAGUCUAGCAUGGCUGUCCUCUGAGAGUCCCUACCAGCAGCUGAGACAAAAGCAGAUACUUAGAGCCACCCAUUGGACUGAAGUCGGGGGCCACUAUGGUUGAAUUAGAGGAAGAACUGAAGAAGUUGAAGGAAAAGGUAACCCCAUAGGAAGACCAGCAGUCUCAACUAACCCAGAGUCCAGGGAGCUACCAGAGACUGAGCCACCAAUCAGGCAGCAUACACCAGCUGGCCUGAGGCCCGAGCAGAAGACUGCCUGGUCUGGCCUCAGUGGGAGAAGAUGUACCUGAUCCUUGAGAGACUUGAGGCCCCAGGGAAUGGGGAGGCCUGGUGGGCGGGAAGCACCCCCUCAGAGACAAGGGGGAGGAGGAAUGAGAUGAGGCACUGUGGGAGGGGGGACCAGGAUGGGGGGACAGUGGCUGGAAUGUAAAUAAAUUAAAUAAUUAUAUAUAAUAUAUUUUAUACCCCUAAUUACCUUUUACCCCUUGUUUUCAUGGUCACCAUACUUUAACACUGGAUGGGGAAGGUACUCUCCUGGCCAGGUAAGCACAGAUCCUAAUAGGUAGUUAUUCUAUUUCAAAGUCUUUGAAGAAAAAAGGUAUUGUUUGAGUGUCAGGCAUUGUUAUGAACAUCCUGCCUUUUCGAAGCCCAAAGGGAUAGACAAAGGAUCUUAGUAUUUCAAAGCGUUCUAGGAAGGCUGAAUACUGUCCAACAUCUGUCAUAGUUUGCUUUCCUUUGCUGUGACCAUCCCCAUGACCAGGAGCAGAGGGCUCAUGACCAGGAGCAGAGGGCCCAUGACCAGGAGCAGAGGGCCCAUGACCAGGAGCAGAGGGCCCAUGACCAUGACCAGGAGCAGAGGGCCCAUGACCAGGAGCAGAGGGCCCAUGACCAGGAGCAGAGGGCCCAUGACCAGGAGCAGAGGGCCCAUGACCAGGAGCAGAGGGCCCAUGACCAGGAGCAGAGCAGAGGGCCCAUGACCAGGAGCAGAGGGCUCAUGACCAUGACCAGGAGCAGAGCAGAGGGCUCAUGACCAGGAGCAGAGGGCCCAUGACCAGGAGCAGGAGCAGAGCAGAGGGCUCACUUCAUCUUUACAGCUUAGUCUGUCACUAAGCGAAGUCAUGGGAGGAACCCACACAGAGCAGGAACCUGGAGGAAGGAGCUGAUGCAGAGGCCGUGGAGCAGUGCUGAUUACUGGCUUUCUCAUCAUGGCUGGCUCAACCUGCUUUCUUAAGAACCCAGGACCACCAGCCCAGGAUGGGCUCCACCCACAGGAAACUGCAGCACAGGUCUGUAGUCUGGUGAGGAAUUUUCUCAGUUGAAGUUUCUUCUUCCAAAAUGACACUGGCUUGUGUUGAAAUAAAACUAGCCAGCAUGACCUGCCUGUUUGCUUGUGCAAAAAUUAGUUUGCCUUUGCAAAUAGAACUUAAAUUAUUCCAAUAACCAGUGCUACCUGCCCCUGAAGUGAGAGGGCAGUACAAAGACAUGGGGCUUUUCCAUUUGGGAGAUAUGAAACAUUGUGCCAACUCUUUUAACUGAAAGGGUCAUGAUUGUAGGGAUUUGUUAUUGAGAACUUAUUUACCCCUUUCUAGAGAAUUAGCAGCAGUUCUAACACAGUUAAAUGAAUAGAAUUAUCAGUCUUUGAGUGAAGUCAAUUUUAUGACUUGCUGUUUAUUGGGACUCAGCCAAUUCACAUAGCUUUUCCACUUCCUUAGUUAGAAUUCCAAUGUCAUCCAGCCUGAAGCUGGCCAAAGAGCUCAUGAUUUGAUAUAAUUGGCAUAUUGAGGGGUACAAAUUGAAUUUCCAAACGAUUUUAAGAAUUUGCAAAUAACAACUUUGAAUAUCUUUCAUGAUGAUUGAAAAAGGAGUGUGUCUACACAGAUUAGAGACUUGACUUAGAUCAUCAUCAAUUUAGACUGGAUAAUUAGAGGAUAUAAUUUUUGGCCCAGUGGGAUGUGUUUUGAAUUCAACACCAGUUAUUUUCAGUAGAAGGUAAGGUCUGAGUAUUUCAGAUGGAAUUGUACUAUGUUCAUUUACCAAUUCUAAAGUGAAGGACCCCACUCUUUUCCUGGCAUUGCCUAUUAGAAGUAUGGUGUAAUAAAUUAAAAUUUAGACUGAAGUAAGUUAAAAAUAGAAAAUUUCAUCUUUAAUAAAUCGAAGAAUUAAAAGUUUGUAAACCCAUGGUAAUUCAGCAGUUUUGUCUCUAUGUGCAUAACUACAUUGAUUUUUCUAAAGACCAAACUUCUUUCUUUAUUACAAAAACAGAGUUACAACUCAAAAUGCACUGUAUUCUCAAUGCACAAGAUAAAAAAAUAGUAGGGAUUUAAAUUACAAGCCAAAGCCCAUUGUAGGUGAGUCUUCUCCAGUUUUAACAGAAGCUUCAAAUCAAGUGUUCUCUGCGUCCCCCAGAAAGGAUGAUUCAGAACUUGAUGAGAUCAUUUGGGCCAUCUAAGAAAGAUUGUUACAUCAUGUUACUGUGAUCUGAGUGCCCUAUUACAAUGAUUAGAACAUUUUGAGUCAUCAAAUUUAGUUUAUUGAUUACACUCUAGAAAUCCAGACUAUGUAGAAGGUGUACUGGCUGGUUUUGUAUGUCAACUUGACACAAGCUAGAAUUAUCACAGAGAAAGGAGCCUCAGUUGAGAAAAUGCCUCCAUGAGACCCAGCUGUGAGACAUUUUCUCAACUAAUGAUCGAGGGGGGAGGACCCAGUCCACUGUGGGUGGUGCCAUCCCUGGGUUGGUAGUCUUAGGUUCUAUAAGAGAGUAAGUUGAGCGAGCCUGGGAAAGCAAGCCAGUAAGUAACAUCCCUCCAUGGCCUCUGCAUCAGCUCCUGCUUCCUGACCUGCUUGAGAUCCAGUCCUGACUUCCUUUGGUGAACAGCAACGUGGAGGCAUAAGCUGAAUAAGCCCUUUCCUCCCCAACUUGCUUCUUGGUCCUGAUGAUUGUGCAGGAAUAGAGACCCUGACUAAGACAGAAGGGAACAAUACUAACAGCCUCUUUGGUGGUGUGAAAGUCUAUUCAGGAGUUAAGACAAUGUAAUGCAAAUAGACACACUCUCCUUUUGCCCUCAGACAGUCACUUCCUCCAGAAAUCUCUGAAGAAUGAUAGCUCCAUCCCCCACCUGCUGCCACGUUGACUGCAGUUAAACAGUUUCUGAGUAGGACUUGACCUCAGCCAUAGAUCACUGACUUGAACGAAGAGCCACCCCUACUAAGAAAUAAGCAUCUCAAGGCCAAUGGCUGAUUGAAUGGCUGGGAGAGAAGACUCCACAUUUGCUUCAGUUUGUGGCAAUAACAGAGGGUCAUCCUCACUCAUUGAAGAGGGACUCCUCAAUUUUGGGAGCUUUGCCAGAAAUGCCUUUUCUUAUCCUUUGAAAUCCUUAAAGCAUCAGGAGGGAUGAGUGAACAGAUUUGUGGGUGGAUGACCAGGCAAACAUAAGAUGAAGAGAAUUCUGAGUUUAAAAACAAAACAAAGCGUUGGGGAUUUAGCUCAGUGGUAGAGCGCUUGCCUAGCGAGCGCAAGGCCCCGGGUUCGGUCCCCAGCUCCGAAAAAAAGAAAAAAACAAAAAACAAAACAAAAAACAAAGCAACAACAACAAAAAGCAGCUAAAGAUCCUACAUUCAUGACCUCCCAAGCCACUUAAAACAUGGAACACAACAUUGUUGUACAGGAGGAAAGGGGUAGAUACACUUUCAAGUUGACUAAAUCCAAAUGAUAUUUCCAAGAUCACAUUUAUGAUCUUGACUUGUUAAUGACCUAUGCCUCUUGCUGUAAGAUUUAGCAUCUCUUGACUCCAUGAAUUAUACUACAAGUCACAGCUCAGUGACCGCAAAGAGACCUACCUAAAGGUUAUACGAGUGUCCCAACACUGAGUCAUGAAGGGCUUCGCAAAAGGUUCCUUCCUCUUGUUGAACACAGGGUUCUGCCUUGUUCUAGAGAACAAAGCUGCAGACUACAGAUUGCUUCUGUGUCUGGGGCCUAAACAGCUAUAAAAUGAUUCCAUUUCCAGAGGAAAUAGCAGUCUCAGAUUUCUCUGGUACAAAAUUUUUCCUUUUUUUCCCCCUUAAUCUCACUGGCCAAAAUACUCAGGUAAAACAUUUCUAGGAAUGGUUUGAAAUGAGGAUAUUAAGCAUUUCUUUUAACCAUAUUCUACCAUUCGAGGAAAAGUACUUUCUUCUUUUAUUGGUGCUUAUUAAAGAACAUUUCACAGUCAGUUCUUCCGCUAUAUACAAAAUAUUUAAGUAUUAAAAUCAUCUCCUUAUAGCCAUAAAGUAAAAUCUAUGGACUUAAUCAUUUAGCACAUGAUUGCUCCAAAUAGAUGUGGAUGUAAGUGGGUGUAAUAUUGAACCAAAUAGUGACCCCCCCCAAAGGUUAAAGCAGGCAUGUUUGUAGCUCUCUCCCAGCUGUGGUCUCAUCGUAACCUUUGAGGUGGUCUGCAGUGACAUUAUUCAUUUGAAACAGGGCAAGCUAUUUUUAAACAGGCACAGUUAAAGUCACAUUCAAUAAAUGCAUUCUAGACUGAAAAUCUUUUAACUAUUUAUAAAAAAAUAGGUGUUUAAUUACUGGGAAACAUUAGUUAUCCUGAAGUGCAUUGGUGCAUAAGGUAGUUAGAAAAAAUAGGGAACUUACAGAAAAAUUGGAAAUGAUAGUGGCUUACUACCAAAAGCAACUUCUAGCAAAAAGUGCUUUUAGUAAAAAAGGAUAUAUCCCUUUGAGCCAUGAACAAAUAUAUUAUUCAACCCAGAAGUUCUUUGUUCAACAUGACUGAAAUGAUUUUGGUCUAAUAAACCUCAGUAAUGCUCCCAUGAAAAAUAAAUCUUAAACAAAAUAGCUUUCUGAUGAACUGACAAUACAAUUCAAGUCAAUAAAAGGAACUAGGAGGCCUGAGUCAACUAUCUUAUGGAGGGCAUGUUUUAAAAGUAGAACUCCUGUCCUGUCUUCAGUUGUGUACCCACUGCUGAGUUCACCAGGCUCCAAUGGAUAAUUUCAAUCUCAAGGUCACCCAGAGAGAUAGUCCUGGUUAAUCUCAGUGAGUCAAAAAACAAGAGGAAAAGACACAAACAUGGAAGAGAGAUUUGUAGUACUCAGAAGGACAGACAGAGUGGUAGUAAAAUAGGACUGUAAAACAGCUUACUAUCCUUGGAGGACCAAUGUAGAGUGGUAAAAAUAUAUGAGUGAAUAAAGAAACGCACGCACACACACACACACACACACACACACACACACACACACACACACAUUUUGCCCCUGGAGAUCAUUAGGUACUAGAAACAUUUAAGUGAAAUAAACAAGUACAAUAAACAAAUAAAAUAGCAUAUUUAGCAAUGGAAGAUUACCUUCUGUCUGACUAUAAGGAGAUAGAGAAUAGAUGCCACACAUUCAAAUAAUUGAUAUAUUUGAGCUUUAAAGGGAAUAGACAAUCUACCUUCGAGGACAAGAAAGACUACAUCUGCAUUCUUGUCUAUAAGGCUAGACUGCAGCGGUGACAGAGGCAGAGAAGAAAGUAAGGAUUGUAGUGCACUAAUUUGAACAACCUGAGAGGCUCUGUGUGACUGGAAUCUUUAGCGUGCACAUCAUUUAACUUUAAAAUUUAAAGUAAAUGAGCAAUUAGAUGACUCCUAGAACUGAACUCUUCAUUUGCCAAAGUGUCUCAGUUGUUAGUUAUUUGAUUGCUGAAACCAUGCUACUUUAAUAACUCAAUAGGUCCUUCAUCAUAAUCUACAAAAAUGCCUUCGCUGCUUGUUCGUUACUCCCUAAGAACAUUUUAUGCUCGGUGUGGCUCUCUACUUUUCUUUUUCUGCAUGUAAUUUGUUGUGUUGGGCAGAUGCUGUGACUUGAGGCAUCGUGGGAAUGGACAGGGUAAUUUCCAAAGAAGGAAAGGCAUACCCUUGAAGACAAUUGAUAAUCUAUUCUGCUAAGUGGACAUGGUGUUAAACUGCCCCCUAAAUUUGUAUCUCUUUACCCUUAAUGGUCCAGCUUUCAGACUUCAUCAGGAGUGUAUCUUUUUUUUUUUUUUGCAUUGGCUGUGGUUAAGGAGGAGACUCACAACUGCUCAGAGUAUAAAGAAUAAACGUCUUGCUUAAAGACAUCUCUAUUGCCUCCCACAACCAAGGCUCAGGAACCAUCAGGGAAGUGAAGGUAGAAAGACUGUAAGAGCCAGAGCUCAGGGAGAACCAGGCUGAAACAGUGCCUCUGGAUGUGACAUAAAUUACAGUAUCUGUGCUUGCCUACACAGGACUUGUGCAAGAUCAAGCCAAUGAAAACUCUAGAAUGGGAGGAAGAGGGUCUCAUGAGGCCCCACUCCUAAUUGAGGAGUUAUUGACAAUGAUGUAUGCUGGGGAGGGACAAUCAGCUUUCUGCAAAAGUGUGGCCACUAGUAAGUUGACCUUCUUCCAGUGGAUGGACCACACAAAUUGGACUCGAUGUGUUACUGCAAAUGAAAGCAAAGUCAAAUAGAAGACAGGAAGUUGGGAAGGGUAGCCAAGUUGGGAGCAGACCUGAAGGGAAUCAGGAGGAGGAAUGAGGGUGAAUCAAAAUACACUGUAAGAAAUUCUCAAAGAAUUAAUAACCUUGUUCUAUUUAUUUUUCUUUAAAAGUUUUAAUUAACAUGUUAAUUAUACAUAUAAAUCAGUGUGAUGUUUCAGCACACACAGUGCACACUAAUCAAAUCCAGCCUUUUGUCAUUACCAUCUGUUUCUGGCCUUUACUCAUCACUAUUCUGUAUCCAAGCUGUCUUAAAAAACAAACAAACAAACAAAAACAAAAACAACAACAAAAAACCGGAGCUUGCAUGAAACUUAGCUGGUAGAGUAUUUGCUUGGUAUCUUAAAAGCCCCGGGUUUCAUCUGCAGCACGUCAUAAAGCAUGGGUAUGGCACACAUCUAUCCAGUCUCAGUAUUCUGUGCAGAAGGAUCAGGAACCCAAGGUUGCUCUCUACUACGUAGGAAGUUAGAGACUGGCUUCAGAUACAUUAGAGCAUUUCAAAACAAAUAAGCAGCCUUCUACAUGUGAAAAGGAAUGUCUCGUAUCUUCCUCUCUGAGCUCGGUUUAUUCCAGUUUACAUGAUGUGUCCAGUUCUAUCCAUUUUUGAGAAAAUGACAAGGUUUCAUUCUUCUCUAUGGCUGACUAAUAUUCAUAUAUACUUACAUAUCUGCAUUCAUACAGCUGCUGGUAAGUUCAUCCCAUAUCUUGACUGUUAUGAGUAAUGCUGAAAAACGAGUAUGUGGAUAUUUCUUUGUUGUGCUGGUUUUAAUGGAAACUUGUGCCUUCAGUUCCCAUUUCUACGUCAGUUUGCUGGCCUCACUUCCUGACUGACUUAAUAAAAAGAAAAUAUUCAUCUGCAAAGCUGAUACCUGGGUCUAAGAGAGGGAAACAUCUUAAGACAGGUGAAAACAAAAACCUCAAGCAAGUUAAUGCUGAGACCAUAAACUUAUAAAUGCCUAGCAGAGUUCUUCCAACUUUUCAUUUAAAGCUGGAGAUUAUAAGAUACUGAAAGUCAGGCAAGGAAAGACCAAGUAUUUCCUGUCCUCUAUUCAGAAAGAAGACCACACGCAUUGUAAAAUUUCACCAUUAACUUCUUCAAAAUGUUUUCUUCCUGUGAUCUCUAUUCAGACAGUGACAUCAGAGUCAUGCACUACCAAGCUGCCCCCCAUGUGCUGUCUUGGGUUGUAGCCUUUGCUACGUUGUGGGGUUUUCUUUUUUCACCCUUUAUCCAUCCCCCCCCACCCCCUGUUUCACAUCUCUAUUACUAGAUAGAAGAGAAAGGCAUGGAACUCCUAGUUAGAUACCUUACUAGAUAGAGGACAGAGAGAGAGAGAGAGAGAGAGAGAGAGAGAGAGAGAGAGAGAGAGAAAGAGAGAGAGAGAGAGAGAGCUGCAUCUAUUUUUUUUUCCUUUUUUUUUUUCUUCUUUGAGCAUGACUGCUAACAAACCACAAACCAACUCCCCUCAACCACCACCAACCACAGUCCCUACCUCUUGGGGCCCCAGUAUUUUAUAUACCCUCUGAAAAUUUUCCUAGCAUUCCAAACGUCACCUAAUUGCAGAAAUGAUUUGUAGCUGGCAAAAACAUGCCUCUGCUAGAGCACGAGGCAAAUCAUCGUCAGUUGCUGUGAAGCACCUCCACAUUCCCGCACUGAGAUUAAAACGAGAGCAUAUUCCUAAAGUAUUUCUAUGUUUUUCAAAGAAACCAAGAUUCCAGAAUUCUCACUACAUUGGGUACUAUUUUAAACUUUUCUUAGUCGUAGAAAAUAAUAGAUUUAUUACGUUUUUGUGCAUGUAUAUGAUAGCCACUACACUCUCUUAAUCCUUGGCCUUUUCCCGUCUCCUAACGCCUCCCUUCUGCUUCCAUAUUGUUGUUUCUCUCCUACAGUCCCCAUAUGAGAAAGCACAUGUGUCGCUUGCCUUUUUGAGUUUGGCUCUCCUCACUUACCAUGGUAUCAUUGGUUCUUUGUACCCUUGCUGCCAUCAAGGUGGUUCAGGUCAUUAUCAUAUCUGUCCUCAACUACUGCACGAAUGCAAGGUCUCCGGACUGGCCUGCCAGCCUGUAGCACUUCUCUUUCAGCCCAUUUUGUGAAAGCAGAGAUGGCCACGGCGUUUCCUGGUUUAGAUCCUUCGAUGAGUCCUCAGUGAUGAUGGAUCACCACCUCAUCUGUCACCAGCUCAUCUCAUUCUGCCUUUCCAGUUUGGCUUCUCCCCUUGUACUCAGCACACACCUCCAGAUGACACUUCUAUACUUCUCAGCCUUUCAUUUAACAUCCUCUUUGCACAGAAUGCAUUUCACCUUACUCUGUUUUAAGACACAGUUUCAGUAUUAUAUCCUCUAAGAGUGGUACUGUUUUCUCUGGGCAGAGAACAUCCCAUGCUUCUUUUUAUUUCCUGGGUAGUUUGUAUACAUUUGUAGCUUAGCAUGAUAUUGUGGAAAUAUGUGGGUGCAUCAUAUAUGUGUGGUGUUUAUAUGUAUACACUAUGUGAACUCCUAUGCAUGUAUGCGUGUGCAUGCCUGUGUGUGUAGGCCAAAGGAGAGUUUUUUGUGUCCUGCUCUAUAACUCUCUGUCAUAUUUCCUUGAGAAAGGAUCCCUUGUUAAAUUAAAGUCUAGGCUGGCAGCCAGCAAGCCCCAGAAAUCUUCCUGUCUGCUCCCACUCACAGCAUUGGGGACACAGAUUUUCAGGAAGCCAUUUAUUCACAUAGCUAUACUUGCUAACGUACUAUCUUUUAACUGUUUGGAGUUACAUUUUGCUUUUCUCACUUACACUGUAAACUCUAAAAGGUGGGGGCUACCCUAUUUACCACCGUGUCUCCGGCUUUGCUCACUCACUGAUCCAGAGCCACCCCUCAGUAGACGGCUCGGUGAAAGUCCGAGCCAGCAGUUGUUUACUGGGUUUGCAUAGGAUACGUCUGAUUUUCCAAAAUGCUGAUAGAAACAACAUCAUCAGAAUGUCCUUAUUACAUUGAACUCCAUGGAGGAAAGCCACCGACAGGCCUCUAAUCUGCAUGGGUUCUACAGAUAAAGUUGUCUAAUUUCCCAAAAUUCUGUGUAAGAAAAAGUGUACAUUGCUCAGGAGAACAGUGUGUUCUUUGACACUAACUGUGAAAGCUUUCAACACAAACAUGUAAAUUUUCUUUGCCUCUGGGUUGUUUUCACUAGUCUUAUUUACGAGAUUACUUGUUUUCUUUACACACAACGGUUUUAGAGUACUCUGCUGUUAAGACACAUUCAGCAACCUCUAGUCAACCUAUUUAGAUUUCAAUGUUCUUAUCUGUGUAAUGAGGCUAAUGGUACUAAGCUGUUCUCCCAGGGAUGCGCCAUUAAAUGUGUCUUGACACUACACAGGCCCUGCAUACAUCAGCAAGGAUUUUCAAAAUAAAAUGUUCUAUAUGCCCAGAAAAUGGUUCCAUUUGGCAUUGUUUGAAGAGCAGGCACAUUUCCACAAGGGAACACUUGCACCAUCAGCAAAGAUUCCAAAACAGAUCUGAGGUAAAAAUUGUUAUGACUGCAGAUAAUGUUUUAUUUGGGGUUGAUAAGACAGGCAAGUAUGUCAAAACAUCCCACCCAUUAUUUUUAAUGGGGAGAGCAAGCCUCAGUGGAAUGGGAUAUUCCUGUUCUACAGUCAGUGUCCUUGCUGUUAAGAGGAUGUUAUAAUCUUUUCACCCUACGUAUGCUGCGUUGGAUUUGCCCUGAGUGUCUUCCUUGUUACUUUAAAUGGGACCAGAGCCCAGAAUUCCUGUGGUCAUGCCCUGCCCAGCAUAUUUUCCUGUCGUUUAAUGGUGCAACAGGGGCUGCGUUGCUCUUCCCCACAGCCCUGGCCUAGGUGAAUGUUCUCUUUUUCUGUAAUUCAUUUUUCUACCAUCCUGAUAGCUCAUUUGUUCUUUCUACUUCUUUAUAUAAAAGAAGCCAGUUUCCUUCCCAGUCCUGAGUGGACCCUGAGAGACAAGAGAGGAAAAGACACAGGAGAAAGGAGACAAUGAGUGGGAGCGGGGGUGGGGGGACAGUCGAGACAAAUGAACCCUGUUUUACUUCUGAGAUGCUGAGAGGCAGUGGGAUGGGUUUAGAGUUCCAUGAAAAUGAAGAGUGGGACAAUAUUGUGACAUCUAUCCUCCUUUCAUCUGGCUUCAACCUAGGUUUAGUGAUAGGUGAAUUAGCUAAUCACGGCUUCUGUGGACACCUAUAAAAGAGGAACUGCAGUCCAGAUAGGGGAAAUGGCAUGUAAAGUUUCAGGACUGGGUAGACUUGUCUCUGGCCCAUCCUUCCUCUACAGUCUAACUUGGUGUGCAACAGAACCAUAAAAACACCUUUUAUGGAAGCAUAGUGUACCCAGAGAAAGCAAUGCUUUACAAACAGUAGAAGUCAGAUGAACCCAGCGAAUUUUCACAAACCAAACACGCUCAUUAACUAGGGCAAUUUCAGACACACUUCUCUAUGUUUGUGUUGCUUUUACAGUUUAGUUUUCCGGGACCAUUCUCUGAUUCACUGAACCAGAAACUCAAGAGCCGAAGCCCAAAUGUUUAAGUAAAUUCCCCUGAAAAGACUUUUGCAGCCAUCUGGGCACCCAUUUCAUUUGUAAACUCUGCUCAGCUCACAGACUCAUGACUUGGGUAGAGAAAGACACUAACUAGGGCAGCUCUUAGUCUGGGAGGAAGGUCGACUAAGGGAUUCCCCUGAUUGGAGAAGUGUUCUAACAGUAGCUUAAGAAGGAGCAGAUGGCAGUCCCCCUGCAAUUGCCGCCUAGACUUCAUUUGUCUUUUAUUACUUUAUUGCUCGGUAAUAGGACCCCAAUUUCAGUGAAGUAAAUAGUCACCAAGCAUUCACACUUAUGGCCUCAUUUGAAGUUAAAUGUGUCUGUGAAACUGAUUUUUAGUCGUUUAGGCUCUGGGAACGUCAUGUGUAAGCUGGAAAAGUAAGUAAAAGUGAGGUACAUUCUUCCUGAUUCUUCCACCAUGCUGAGCAAUGGAGGAUGGACAUGCCUGGGACUAGAGAGACCGGCUAGGGUAGGAUGGAUAAGGGACAUCUACCAUGGAUGGGAGAUCAGAAAGCCUGAAGAAAUGUAGAUUUCCUUAGGAAAUUUUUUUAAGGAUUUCAUCCUGAACCUAUAAUACCAACUGUGAAUUUUGAACAGACUACCAUUUGUAGUUUAGCUAGUACUAAUUUGAGUUUUAUAAUACCAUAUAAAAGUGUCAAUAUAUCUAACUGAGACAAAGAUACUCUCCUCUAUUUAGGUAUGUCUGAAGGAUCUCAAUUAGAAGUAGCCAUCUCCCUAGAACUUAGUGUUCUGAUUUGCUCACCACCCCCUUUCCUCCUCCUCCUUGGCUAAAGAAAUGCUUGAGAGAAAAUUUUGGUUGUGAUAAUCAACUCUUAAUGAAAACAAAUGUGCUUUGUACUGUAGAGUAGAACCUUGCUGUCUGGGAACUGUUUAUGAGGUUGGCUUCUUGCCAUAGGCUUCCUCUGAACUUCGGCAGAGAGAGGUCUUAGCCUGUAUCUUGGAGCACUUUGGGGGCAUUUUCCAUAAAGUGCCUCAUUCUGUGUAGGUGGGUGUCAGUUUCAUCAUGUAAUAACUACAAAAGACUUUUGUGGUCUGGAGGUACAUGUCCAGCCAGGUGGAAACUGGUUCUACUUCCUAAAAAUAUGAAGCCUAGGUGUGUGGUCAGGUCACAAGCCAAGAAAGCCAGGGGGUGGGGGCUCUCACUUCAGUUCAAGUACUGAUGGAAACCAGAUCAUAAACUAGAAGUUAGAUUAGGGCUCAGGCACGGGUUACAAAGAGGGAGUCAAUCCAGGAGGAUCAGAUAUAUGCAGAUAGAGACUGACUGACUCUGUGGUGCAGCUCCCUAAAUGCUAGUACCUUGGUAUCUUAGUCAGGGUUCUUUAGAGUCACAGAACUUAUGGGCAGUCUCUAUAUAGUAAGGGAUUUGGUUGAUGACUUACAAUCUAUAGUCCAACUCUCCAACAAUGGUCAGCAGCAGCUGUGAACGGAAGUCCAAGGAUCUAGCAGUGGCUCAGUCCCAUGAGGCAGGCAGGCAUGGUGCAGGAGGAGCUGAGUUCUACAUGUUCACCCGAAGGAAGCCAGGAACAGACUGAGCAUCCUCCAGGCAGCUAAGAGGAGGGUCUCCAAGCCCACCCGCACAGUGACAUACUUCCUCCAACAAGGCCACACCUUCUAAUAGUGUCAAUCCCUGGGCCAAGGAUUUGCAGACCAUCAUACUUCUAUUCCUAACACUGUUUGCUCCCCCAUUGAGGAGUCCACUGGAAACCACCCUGAUAGGAGAUAGUAGAGCCUGAGGCUGAAGUGGGAAAGAGAAAAGUCAAUGAUGGAUUGUUGGUGUUCUUCUAAGAGUUGAACUCUAUCUUUUUUUUCUUUUUUCUUUUAUCUUUUUUAACUUGAGUAUUUCUCUUUUUUUUUGUUUGUUUGUUUGUUUUCACUCUGAGUUCUUAUUUUCCAAAUUCAUCCAUCUUGCUGUGUUCAUGGACUUCCUGAUAUAUGGGUGCUCCCCUUUAACUUACAUGCACACACACACACACACACACACACACACACACACACGGACGCACGCACGCACGCACGCACGCACGCACGCACGCACGCACGCAUGUACGCACACAAAACAGCAAAACAACAACUACAGAAACCUGAGAAACCUCUGAAUUCUUUUCCAUUUUGGCUGGAUUUUUAUCUUUUUAUUUAUUUAUUUUUUGCUGUGUAAUGAUGUGAUUUGUUUAUUUAAAAUGAUUUUUCUCCCAAGUUGCCCAAUGAUUUAGCAGGUUUUCUUUUACCUUCAUCUCAAACAAUCAACACACUUCCUGUAUUUUAUUUUCACCAGGUAUGCUAUUUUAACAUUACAUUAACUUGGCUGGAUUUUUAUAAAUGGCGAGAGAGAUGCCCAGGAGGACAAUUGCUGGGUGUGUGUGAUCUGAAGCUCUCAGAGAGGAAACUGCACCUAUGUUGAUUAUUCUGUGUGGAUGACUGACUAUUAGAACUCCAUGAUUGGGGAGGGUUGCAAUGGUGCCAAUCUGGAUUGAUUUAACUCCCUUAAUAGCCAUUUGGGGUCUACUUACUGUAUCCUAUGUAGCAUUCUUUGUGUGUGUGUGUGUGUGUGUGUGUGUGUGUGUGUGUGUGUGUGUGUGUGAGGCUGGCUUUGAACUCUUUUUUUUCCUUUUUAUCUUUAUUAACUUGAAUAUUUCUUAUUUACAUUUCUAGUGUUAUUCCCUUUCCCGGUUUCCGGGCCAACAUCCCCCUAACCCCUCUCCCUCCCCUUCUAUAUAGGUGUUCCCCUCCCCAUCCUCCCCCCAUUACCGCCCUCCACCCAACAAUCACGUUCACUGGGGGUUCAGUCUUGGCAGGACCAAGGGCUUCCCCUUCCAUUGGUGCUCUUACUAGGCUAUUCAUUGCUACCUAUGAGGUUGGAGCCCAGGGUCAGUCCAUGUAUAGUCUUUGGAUAGUAGCUUAGUCCCUGGAAGGUCUGGUUGGUUGGCAUUGUUGUUCAUAUGGGGUCUUGAGCCCCUUCAAGCUCUUCCAGUCCUUUCUCUGAUUCCUUCAAGGGGGGUCCUGUUCUCAGUUCAGUGGUUUGCUGCUGGCAUUCGCCUAUGUAUUUGCUGUAUUCUGGCUGUGUCUCUCAGGAGAAAUUUACAUACGGUUCCUGUCGGCCUGCACUUCUUUCCUUCAUCCAUCUUAUCUAAUUGGGUGGCUGUAUAUGUAUGGGCCACAUGUGGGGCAGGCUCUGAAUGGGUGUUCCUUCUGUGUCUGUUUUAAUCUUUGCCUCUCUAUUCCCUGCCAAGGGUAUUCUUGUUCCCCUUUUAAAGAAGGAGUGAAGCAUUCGCAUUUUGGUCAUCCCUCUUGCGUUUCAUGUGUUCUGUGCAACUAGGGCAAUUCAAGCAUUUGGGGUAAUAGCCACUUAUCAAUGAGUGCAUACCAUGUGUGUUUUUCUGUGAUUGGGUUACCUCACUCAGGAUGAUAUUUUCCAGUUCCAUCCAUUUGCCUAUGAAUUUCAUGAAGUCAUUGUUUUGAUAGCUGAGUAAUAUUCCAUUGUGUAGAUGUACCACAUUUUCUGUAUCCAUUCCUCUGUUGAAGGGCAUCUGGGUUCUUUCCAGUUUCUGGCUAUUAUAAAUAAGGCUGCAAUGAACAUAGUGGAGCACGUGUCUUUUUUAUAUGUUGACGCAUCUUUUGGGUAUAUACCCAAAAGAGGUAUAGCUGGGUCCUCAGGUAGUUCAAUGUCCAAUUUUCUGAGGAACCUCCAGACUGAUUUCCAGAAUGAUUGUACCAGUCUGCAAUAUCACCAACAAUGGAGGAGUGUUCCUCUUUCUCCACAUCCUCACCAGCAUUAGCUGUCACCUGAGUUUUUGAUCUUAGCCAUUCUGACUGGUAUGAGGUGAAAACUCAGGGUUGUUUUGAUUUGCAUUUCCCUUAUGACUAAAGAUGUUGAACAUUUCUUUAGGUGUUUCUCAGCCAUUCAGCAUUGAAUUCUUUGUUUAGCUCUGAAUUCCAUUUUUUAAUAGGGUUAUUUGUCUCCCUGAGGUCGAACUUCUUGAGUUCUUUGUAUAUUUUGGAUAUAAGGCCUCUAUCUGUUGUAGGAUUGGUAAAGAUCUUUUCCCAAUCUGUUGGUUGCCAUUUUGCCCUAACCACAGUGUCCUUUGCCUUACAGAAGCUUUGCAGUUUUAUGAGAUCCCAUUUGUCGAUUCUUGAUCUUAGAGCGUAAGCCAUUGGUGUUUUGUUCAGGAAAUUUUCUCCAGUGCCCAUGUGUUCGAGAUGCUUCCCCACAUUUUCUUCUAUUAGUUUGAGUGUAUCUGGUUUGAUUUGGAGGUACUAGAUCCACUUGGACUUAAGCGUUGUACAGGGUGAUAAGCAUGGAAUGAUCUGCAUUCUUCUACAUGUUGACCUCCAGUUGAACCAGCACCAUUUGCUAAAAAUGCUAUCUUUCUUCCAUUGGAUGGUUUUGGCUCCUUUGUCAAAAAUCAAGUGACCAUAGGUGUGUGGGUUCAUUUCUGGGUCUUCAAUUCUAUUCCACUGGUCUAUCUGUCUGUCUCUGUACCAAUAUCAUGCAGUUUUUUAUCACUAUUGCUCUGUAAUGCUGCUUGAGUUCAGGGAUAGUGAUUCCCCCCUGAAGUCCUUUUAUUGUUGAGGAUAGUUUUAGCUAUCCUGGGUUUUUUGUUAUUCCAGAUGAAUUUGUAAAUUGUUCUGUCUAACUCUUUGAAGAAUUGGAUUGGUAUUUUGAUGGGGAUUGCAUUGAAUCUGUAGAUCACUUUUGGUAAAACAGCCAUUUUUACUAUAUUAAUCCUGCCAAUCCAUGAGCAUGGGAGAUCUUUCCAUCUUCUGAGGUCUUCUUCAAUUUCUUUCUUCAGAGGCUUGAAGUUCUUAUUGUACGGAUCUUUUACUUGCUUUGUUAAAGUCACACCGAGGUACUUUAUAUUAUUUGGGUCUAUUAUGAAGGGUGUCAUUUCCCUAAUUUCUUUCUCAGCUUCUUUCUCUUUUGUGUAGAGGAAGGCUACUGAUUUAUUUGAGUUAAUUUUAUACCCAGCCACUUUGCUGAAGUUGUUUAUCAGCUUUAGUAGUUCUCUGGUGGAACUUUUGGGAUCACUUAAAUGUACUAUCAUAUCAUCUGCAAAUAGUGAUAUUUUGACUACUUCUUUUCCAAUCUGUAUCUCCUUGAUCUCCUUUUGUUGUCUGAUUGCUCUGGCUAGAACUUCAAGAACUAUAUUGAAUAAGUAGGGUGAGAGUGGGCAGCCUUGUCUGGUCCCUGAUUUUAGAGGGAUUGCUUCAAGUUUCUCUCCAUUUAGUUUAAUGUUAGCCACUGGUUUACUGUAUAUUGCUUUUACUAUGUUUAGGUAUGGGCCUUGAAUUCCUAUUCUCUCCAGGACUUUUAUCAUGAAGGGGUGUUGAAUUUUGUCAAAUACUUUCUCAGCAUCUAAUGAAAUGAUCAUGUGGUUUUGUUCUUUCAGUUUGUUUAUAUAAUGAAUUACGUUGAUGGUUUUCUGUAUAUUAAACCAUCUCUGCAUGCCUGGGGUGAAGCCUACUUAAUCAUGGUGGAUGAUUGUUUUGAUGUGCUCUUGGACUCAGUUUGCCAGAAUUUUAUUGAGUAUUUUUGUGUCGAUAUUCAUAAGGGAAAUUGGUCUGACAUUCUCUUUCUUUGUUUGGUCUUUAUGUGGUUUAAGUAUAAGAGUAAUUGUGGCUUCAUAGAAGGAAUUCGGUAGUGCUCCAUCUGUUUCAAUUUUGUGGAAUAGUUUGGAUAGUAUUGGUAUGAGGUCUUCUAUGAAUGUUUGAUAGAAUUCUGCACUGAACUUGUCUGGACCUGGGCUCUUUUUGGUUGAGAGACCUUUAAUGACUGCUUCUAUUUCGUUAGGAGUUAUGGGGUUGCUUAACUGGUUUAUCUGUUCCUGAUUUAACUUCAGUACCUGGUAUCUGUCUAGGAAAUUGUCCAUUUCCUGCAGAUUUUCAAGUUUUGUUGAAUAUAGGCUUUUGUAGUAGGAUCUGAUGAUUUUUUGAAUUUCCUCUGUUUCUGUAGUUAGGUCUCUCUUUUCAUUUCUGAUUUUGUUAAUUUGUGUCCUCUCAUUAGUCUGGCUAAGGGUUUAUCUAUCUUGUUGAUUGUCUCAAAGAACCAACUUUCGGUUCUGUUGAUUCUUUUUAUGGUCCUUUUUGUUUCUACUUGGUUGAUUUCAGCUCUGAGUUUGAUUAUUUCCUGCCUUCUACUCCUCCUGGGUGUAUUUGCUUCUUUUUGUUCUAGAGCUUUUAGGUGUGCUGUCAAGCUGCUGACAUAUGCUCUUUCCUGUUUCUGCAGGCACUCAGAGCUAUGAGUUUUCCUCUUAGCACAGCUUUCAUUGUGUCCCAUUAGUUUGGGUAUGUUGUACCUUCAUUUUCAUUAAAUUCUAAGAAGUCUUUAAUUUCUUUCUUUAUUUCUUCCUUGACCAGGUUAUCAUUGAGUAGAGCAUUGUUCAAUUUCCAUGUAUAUGUGGGCGUUCUUCCCUUAUUGUUCUUGAAGAUCAGCUUUAGCCUGUGCUGCUCUGAUAGGACGCAUACGAUUAUUUCUAUCUUUCUGUAUCUAUUGAGGCCUGUUUUAUGACCAAUUAUAUGGUCAAUUUUGGAGAAAGUACCAUGAGGUGGUGAGAAGAAUGUAUAUCCUUUUGCUUUAGGAUAGAAUGUUCUAUAAAUAUCUGUUAAGUCCAUUUGGUUCAUUACUUCUCUUAGUCUGUCUAUGUCUCUUUAAUUUUUGUUUCCAUGAUCUGUCCAUUGAUGAGAGUGGGGUGUUGAAAUCUCCUACUAUUAUUGUGUGAGGUACAAUGUGUGUUUUGAGCUUAGUAAGUUUCUUUUAUAUAUGUAGGUGCCCUUGUAUUUGGAGCAUAGAUAUUUAGGAUUGAGAGUUCAUCUUGGUGGAUUUUUCCUUUGAUGAAUAUGAAGUGUCCUUCCUUAUCUUUUUCGAUGACUUUUAGUUGAAAAUCGAUUUUAUUCGAUAUUAGAAUGGCUACUCCAGCUUGCUUCUUCUGACCAUUUGCUUGGAAAGUUGUUUUCCAACCUUUCACUCUGAGGUAGUGUCUGUCUUUGUCUCUGAGGUGUGUUUCCUGUAGGCAGCAGAAUGCAGGGUCCUCAUUGCGUAUCCAGUUUGUUAACCUAUGUCUUUUUAUUGGGGAGAUGAGACCAUUGAUGUUGAGAGAUAUUAAGGAAUAGUGAUUAUUGCUUCUUGUUAUAUUCAUAUUUGGAUGUGAGAUUAUGUUUGUGUGCUUUUCUUCUCUUUGUUUUGUUGCCAAGACGAUUAGUUUCUUGCUUUUUCUAGGGUGUAGCUUGCCUCCUUCUGUUGGGCUUUACCAUUUAUUAUCCUUUGUAGCGCUGGAUUUGUAGAAAGAUAUUGUGUAAAUUUGGUUUUGUCAUGGAAUAUCUUGGUUUCUCCAUCUAUGUUAAUUUAGAGUUUUGCAGGAUACAGUAACCUGGGCUGGCAUUUGUGUUCUCUUAGGGUCUGUAUGACAUCUGUCCAGGAUCGUCUGGCUUUCAUAGUCUCUGGCGAGAAGUCUGGUGUGACUCUGAUUGGUCUGCCUGUAUAUAUUACUUGACUUUUUUCCCUUACUGCUUUUAAUAUUCUUUCUUUAUUUUGUGCAUUUGGUGUUUUGACUAUUAUGUGAUGGGAGGAGUUUCUUUUCUGGUCCAAUUAUUUGGAGUUCUGUAGGCUUCUUGUACAUUUAUGGGCAUCUCUUUCUUUAGGUUAGGGAAGUUUUCUUCUAUGAUUUUGUUGAAGAUAUUUUCUGGUCUUUUGAGCUGGGAGUCUUCACUCUCUUCUAUACCUAUUAUCCUUAGGUUUGAUCUUCUCAUUGAGUCCUGGAUUUCCUGUAUGUUUUGGAUCAGUAGCCUUUUCCAUUUUCCAUUAUGUUUGACAGUUGUGUCGAUGAUUUCUAUGGAAUCUUCUGCUCCUGAGAUUCUCUCUUCUAUCUCUUGUAUUCUGUUGGUGAUGCUUGUAUCUACGGCUCCUUGUCUCUUCCUUUGGUUUUCUAUAUCCAGAGUUGUUUCCCUGUGUUCUUUCUUCAUUGCUUCUAUUUCCAUUUUUAAUUCCUUCAACUGUUUGAUUGUGUUUUCCUGGAAUUCUUUCAGGGAUUUUUGUGAUUCCUCUCUAUAGGCUUUCUACUUGUUUAUUUAUGUUUUCCUGUGUUUCUCUGAGGGAGUUCUUCAUGUCUUUCUUGAAGUCCUCCAGCAUCAUGAUCAAAUAUGAUUUUGAAACUAGAUCUUGCUUUUCUGGUGUGUUUCGAUAUUCCGUGUUUGCUUUGGUGGGAGAAUUGGGCUCCGAUGAUGCCAUGUAGUCUUGGUUUCUGUUGCUUGGGUUCCUGUGCUUGCCUCUCGACAUCAGAUUGUCUCUGGUGUUUCUUUGUUCUGCUAUUUCUAACAGUGGCUAGACAAUCUAUAGGCCUGUGUGUCAGGAAUGUUGUAGACCUGUUUUCCUGUUUUCUCUCAGUCAGUUAUGGGAACUGCGUGUUCUGCUGUCCGGCGUGUAGUCUUUCCUGUCUACUGGUCUUCAACUGUUCCUGUGGGCCUGUGUCCUGAGUCUACUAGGCAGGUUGCUUGGAGCAGAAAAGUUGGUAUUACCUGUGGUCCCGAGGCUUACAUUGCUCGUGGGGGGCUGCUUUGGAGCUCUUGGUGAGGGUGGCAACCAGGAUGGCCUCUGCUGCCUUUUCCGGGAGCCCCCGUGCACCAGGGUCCUAGAUGGCAUUAGGUGUUUUCCUCUGGGGUCAGAAAUGUGGGCAGAGUUUAGUCUCUUCUGGCUUCCCAGGUGUGUCUGCCUCUCUGAAGGUUUAGCUCUCCGUCCCAUGGGAUUUGGGUGCAGGGAACUGUUUAUCCAGUCCCUUCAAGUCUGGGCGGUAUCUAGAGCGCAGGGGACCUGCAGCUCCAGUGCUCCUAUCUUCCGGUUCCCAGAGUCCGUAUACAGUUUCCUCUUGGGCCAGGGAUGUGGGCAGGGGUGGGCAGUAUUGGUGGUCUCUCCCGGUCUGCAACCUCAGGAGUGCCUACCUGUCCGGGUGGUGAGCUGUCUCUCUCCCAAGGGGUUUGGGAGCAGUGAGCUGUGGGCUGAACUCUAUCUUUAAGCACUCCACUACUGAACUUGGUCCUCAGCCCUCUUUUCUUUACCUCCUAUUUUGAUCAGAAUGAUCUUGAUCAUUCUGUAAACCAGAUAAGUAGGCGUUGAACUUGUGAUCGUUCUUCCUCUGGCUCUGGAAUAGCAGGGACCACAGGUGUGUGUCAUCAGGCCUAGCAUUAAGGUUUUCGUUUGUUUUUAAUUUAACAAACUCUUCACAGCUUCCUUUUCCAUAGCUGUAACACUGCAACUAAGAAUACCUUACUCACAGGUAAAAAUUUUUUAUGGGUAAGGAAUUUUCAAACUGUGCCAAGGCAUAUAAAUAUAAAUCAUUAUUACUAUUUUGGGAAAAGGAUGGCAGCAAUUUAACUGUGCUGAGCCAAUUUCCGUUGCAUUUAGGACCAGGAUAAUUCAUUCAUUGAAAAUGAGAGGGAGUAGGUUUAUGGAGUUAAGAUAUAACUGAUAGAUUUGUAAUACAGACAAAAAAAAAAAAAAAAAAACCCUUUGUCAGAGAAAUAACCUGCGCUCCUGCCUGAGAAAAGCAUCAAGCUUUUCAGGAGAUGGCACUGUCAUAGCUUUGUUUACUUUUAAAUCUUCCACAUCAUACACUUUAUCUUAGGGAACUAUGAUUCAUGAAAGCACAGCUUAUAAUUCAACAGACUUGAGAGUAGCCAUUUUUCGAGUCUCUGCUUUGUUCAAGACAACUGCUAGGGACCAGAUAGAAAAGCCAAGGGCUGCUUGACUUUCACCAUAAAAGCAGCACUGGGGCAUCUAGGUUUACAAUUGUGUUUGUUGUAAUAAACCACAUUUUAUAAGGAACAGGUGUAGCUGAUUUAUAACCUCAAUUGGGUGAGGCUGGGCUCUCGAGCUGACUAUAAAGGGUCUGAGAAGAUUUAAGAGAUUGAGUGACAGCCAGGAUGAGUCUAGGAACUAACUCUUAAAGGUGUCAUUUUGGCAAAUGAUAAGUUACUAAAAUAUAUUCUUGUACUGAUAAGAAGUUUGUCUAUAAGUAGAAGUGAGUUUAUUUAGUGAAAAUAAUUCUCAUUAUUUAAUUAGAAAGUAUUGAUCUUUGGACAUUCUGUGAAUUCAGUUGGCUGUAAACACAUAGCCUGACUUCCUGGGCCAUUCACAUUGGCUUCUUUCCCCCAGCAAAGGCCACUGGCAUCUUUGGAGAUGGUUGUAAUCUACUCAGACUAUUUAAAACAUUGUGUGCUUAACUGAUGUCCUUUUUAAUGACCACAAUUAAUUUAGUGAUCAAAAAUCAGCUGCCGUAUCUCAAAGGAAGAGACGGAGGAUAAAAAGAAAAAAGGGAAGGAAGGAAAGAGGGAUGCUCUGAGCUUCCUCUUUCUUCACAUCCCUUCUCUGUGAGCCUCCCCAUGCUUGCUGCUUCUGCUCCCUGAAUUGUCUACUCUCUACCUGCCUCUCAUACUUCAGAACUGUCAGCUGCUCUCAGAGCGUGCUCAUCUCAGAACUUAGCAUUUCUGACAGAAAUAAAAGGGACAUUUCCCUACCUCAGUUUUUAUAUUAUACUCAGUACACUAUCAUAAUAACCAGAAAGGAAACUCGGUGGAGGGGGAGAGGCCUGCAACUUCCCUUAAAAUGAUAGUUCCCUUUGUAAUUUCCUUUAUUUAUUUCAUUACGUAUUUAUUAAAAAGCUUCCUGUGUCUAGGCUCGACACCUACUUUGGGGGACGUUCCAGGGCACGAAGGUGAUCCACAUGGCUCUUCAUUUGAGUGUGGGAAAAACAUAAGUUAAAAAACCAUUAUGUUAUGUGGGGGAAUGUUAGAUCCAAAGAAGAAAUAAGAUAGUUUAAGUUUGAGGAGUGCAGGGUUGGAUGGAUGAAGUAGUAGUUUAAAGCACAGUCUUGUUCUAUAAGAAAAUGUAUUUUCUUCCCCCUGGGGAAAAAGACCAAGGCAAAAAAAACAAAAAACAAAAAACAAAAAACAAAAACAAACCAGAAUAAUAAUUAAAAAGAGAUAGAUACUAGUAAAAGGAAAAAAGAUUAAUAAAGACGACAACAAAGCAAAACCUCUAAAUACAACCAGAGAUCUAGAAUUGUCUUUUCACAGCAUUCAUACAUCACUUUACAUAGCUAAUACUCACCAGAAGCCGAUGUUAGUUCAUAAAUGGAAAGUCGAGGAAAUACACACACACACACACACACACACACACACACACACACACACACGCACAUACACGCACAUACACGCACACACACACACACACACACACACACACACACACACACUCACUCAUACACACACAAAAGAACAUACCAAGAGAGAGAUGUCGAACUUUGAGAAUUUGAAGCAAAUUUGAAUUAUGCAAAGGAACUCUGAGACAAAAUCUAUAAACAAAUCAAGAUGAAAAGAGUUGGUUGGAAUUGGCAAGAUGGUUCAGUAGGAGCUGGCCGCCAGGGCUGACUGACAGAGAACCCACACACUGUAGGGGGAGCACCUCCAUAGGCCUCUCUCUUUCACUCUCUGUCUAAGAAAAAAUUCUAAGGUCUAGAAACACAAAGCCCUGCUCACCCUCCCGGAGAAGACAUGAGCACAGCAACUCGAGAAACAAACAUACACAGUGAAAGUCUGACUAGAGAACACAAAGCUCUGUGUUAGUCCCACUGAGAGGCUACCCCAACUUCGGAAUGGGUGGCCCAGUUCUCCCCUUUGGAGGACAGGGGCUUGGGUGUAUGGCUAGUACAAUUGGAAAGAAUGGCUGGAUCCAUUUACUAUGCAGCCCGUGUUGACCUGUGAAUGUACUUACAGUUAGCAGUAGACAGGCAUAGAUUUGAAUUCAUUCAUGGGGUCAAAUUAGUCAAUCAGUCUCUGAAUCUAUUUCCCUAAUGCUGCAUUUCCGGUGUUUAUACAGAGUAUGUUUAGAAGACCACCCUUGAGUUAAACUGAGUUUUAUGAUAUUGAUAUUUUUAUCUCAAUGGUAUUUAAAUAUGAACAGUAUUAUGCAGUAUGACCUGGCAUAUACUGCCCCCCCCCCAUGAUAGGCAUCAGAAUUGACAUCUUCCUUUGCUAUUUUAUUUAUUGUGAGAUAUGGUCACAUUAUUUAGCCCUGGCUGACUUGGAACUCACAAGAGAGCUCCCAGAAUGCCUAAUCCUAUGCUGUCUCAAAGAGGAUGUCCCCACCCUGCCCCCCAGGAAGCCUCCCCACUCCCUGGGGCCUGAGGUCUCUUUGAGGAUGCUUGAAUCUCACUUGGGAGGGAGAAGAAAGCAAUCAUGGGAGGCAGAGGGAGGGAGGGACCUGGGCAGGAGAGGGAAGGGGAAAAGAGGAACAUAAUCAGGCUAUAAAAAAAAAAAACCACUUGAAAGUAGAAUAACAUUUGUACAUUGAUGAUGCUCUCUAGAUGUCCAGAUGACUGUCAUGCCAAGUGCAUUGUUACUUGAAGACUUGAAGGAGGAGGAGGAUGGGGAGAAGGAGGGGGGAGGAGGGAGAAAAAGAAGAAGAAGAAGAAGAAGAAGAAGAAGAAGAAGAAGAAGAAGAAGAAGAAGAAGAAGAAGAAGAAGAAGAAGAAGAAGAAUCUGAGAGAUGCUCAGUGGUUAAAAGCAUGGGCUGCUCUUGCAGAGAGGACCUGGGUUCAUUUCCCAGUGCCCACACAGUGGCUCACAACUGUUGUGGUAAAAAUAUAAAAAGUGCUGGCUCCGGUGGGCCACAUGGCAUCUGCAGGGUAUUUUCAUUUUAAAGAGCAAAGUGUCUCAACCCGACUCUCCAUCUCACACUGCCUCCAGCUACUCUCUGAGCCCGCAGCAGCCACCCUCUUGCAACUCUCUUGCUGUGGACUCUGCUCACAUUCCCAGCAUCCACUCCUGGGAUUAUAGUCGCAACCCCCAGUAACUCGUUAAGGUCAAAACUUAAUAAGCUUGUAAUUUAGCAAUCAGAUUUAUGUCUUAAAUUCUCAUUCUGCAAAACAUCCACAGUAAACUCACAACCAAUUGAUAAUGAUAUAAACCUAAAUAAGACAAAUUGUCCUAUAAAAAUCCAUCCCGUAUGAAUGUCCCUUUAAGGCUGCACAGAUCUGGGUCAUCCUUCUUCUUCAUCUUUGUUCUUUUCUUUUCCCCUCUACCACCUUACAAAAACUCUGUCUCCGCCUUACUUUUUCACUGCCCAAUCUCAGGCCUUAUCUUGUGACAGCUCUCACCUGCAUAUAGACAUCAACUAUACACAACCACCUUUAACUCCAGUUCUAGGUAAUCCAGUUCCCUCUUCUAGCCUUUUUGUGUACCAGGCACAGGUGUGGUGCACAGACCUGUAUGCAAGCAAACAUUCAUAAAAUAAAAAUAAAUUAAAAAAAACACCAGCUUUAUUGAGGUGUACUUCACAUUUCACAGAGCUGAUCUUUUUCAUUGAACAUUAUAGUGGUUCUUAAUCUAAUUACAGAAUUGUGCCACUAUCAUCAGUUUCUAGCUUUAAAACAUCUUCAUCACCCCUAAAAUAAACCCUGCGUACCUAUUAGUAAUUAAUCUCCACCCCACUCUUUCUCUAAUUGGAAGGUGUCUUAGUUGGUGUUCUAUUGCUGUGGAGAGACACAAUGACCAAAAUGACGAUGACAGAAAGCAUCUCAUUGGUGCUUGCUUACAGUUUGAGGUUCAGUCUGUCUUAUCUUGGCAGGAAGUAUGGUGGCCUGCAGGUGGACAUGGUGCUGGCAAAGAGCUCAGAGUUCUAUAUCCUGAUCUGCAGGUAGCUGGAAUAAAGAACCACUGGGCCUUGAUUGGGUUUUUGAAACCUCAGAGUCCACCCAAGUGACACAUCUCCUCCAACAGGGCCAUACCUCCUAAUCCUUUCAAAUAGCUCCAUUUCAUAAGCAUUGACAUGUGUAAGCCUAUGGGGGCCAUUCUCUUUCACACCGCCACAGCAAGUAAUGAUUUAUUUUUUGAAUCUAUAAAUUUACUUAUACUAGGCAUUUAUUGACAGACAAAUAGAAUCUCACAGUCUGUGGGGUUUUUCUAAUGAUGGAUUUUUAUUUGCUUAAUGUUCCUGAGGUUUGUACAGGCUGUACAGCAUUGAAGUGGAAAUUUCUGGUUUGCUUGGAGACCCAGUUGUGUCACGUGGUGUUUUUCUGGAAACUGUUUUAUGAGAGGAUGCCUUUGCUGGGGCAGACACGUGGGAAGCUGUUUUGCUGAGAACAGACAGGUGGUAUUUUUCUGGGAGCAGCCUGGAAAAGGGGCAUGUGAUGUUUUGCUAGAGUGGAAGCUUGAGAGAACACAUGAGGUUUGCAAAGAGUAUAAAUAUAACCCAAUAACCAACAUAAAAUGGACAGUGCUAGGCGGCAUUGGUUCACCUUGCCACUCUUUGCCGAUCAUCAUUUGCCAUGACUUUGUAGAGAGAAAUUACCAAAUAAUCAAAUAACUAAAGAACUUCUGGUGGUAUUUCAGAGGCUUCUUGCUACUUCUGAGGUGGCCUCGGGCCAAUUGGCAAAGCCUCAAGGUUUCUUCUGGAUCAAACUUCCCUUGCUGAUUCAUGGAUAGUGUUUGCCGAUUCCUGUGAACUGAAGUGCUGACAAUGCAGAUUGGACUCACCCCAAAAAACUAUUUCUAACCAGGUCUUCAUCCCUCUUUGCCCUAUUAACCUUUCCUUUCCACUAACUCUGGUGGGCCGUGCGCUAGAAGGGAGGUUAAGGCACUUAAGUACACUUACUAAUGUAGGAUUCGAAAAAUAUAAGUCUGUACAGCAUCCUUUCUUUUUGGAUGACUAUUAUUCCAUUAAAUAGGACAUUUCUUUAUAUUGUUUACUCAUGGAAAUUUACACUGUCUCUCUUUACACUAUUUUAAUACCAAUGCCAUAAGUAUUCUUCUACAUGGUUUUGUGAAGAUGUAUCUUUAGUUCUUUUAGGAACGUGAUCGCGAUUUCAUGUAAUAACUGUAUGUUUAAUACUUUAAAUAAACUGUGUUCA